AAACUUAAAGGAAUUGACGGGACCCGCACAAGCGGUGGAUGAUGUGGAUUAAUUCGAUGCAACGCGAAAACCUUACCUACCCUUGACAUGUCCGGAAUCCUGCAGAGAUGCGGGAGUGCCCGAAAGGGAAUCGGAACACAGGUGCUGCAUGGCUGUCGUCAGCUCGUGUCGUGAGAUGUUGGGUUAAGUCCCGCAACGAGCGCAACCCUUAUCAUUAGUUGCUACGCAAGGGCACUCUAAUGAGACUGCCGGUGACAAACCGGAGGAAGGUGGGGAUGACGUCAAGUCCUCAUGGCCCUUAUAGGUGGGGCUACACACGUCAUACAAUGGCCGGUACAGAGGGUAGCCAACCCGCGAGGGGGAGCCAAUCCCACAAAGCCGGUCGUAGUCCGGAUCGCAGUCUGCAACUCGACUGCGUGAAGUCGGAAUCGCUAGUAAUCGCGGAUCAGCAUGUCGCGGUGAAUACGUUCCCGGGUCUU
RNAcentral lists this ribosomal RNA (479 nucleotides) under uncultured Thiobacillus sp. Its description in RNAcentral is "bacterial SSU rRNA". It matches the Rfam family "Bacterial small subunit ribosomal RNA", at positions 897 to 1382 of the family's 1533-position model. Lineage: Bacteria; Pseudomonadati; Pseudomonadota; Betaproteobacteria; Nitrosomonadales; Thiobacillaceae. The record is from RNAcentral.